This 2179-nucleotide long non-coding RNA is filed under the name Marmota monax (woodchuck). The record is from RNAcentral. Lineage: Eukaryota; Metazoa; Chordata; Mammalia; Rodentia; Sciuridae.
CAGUUUGCUCCUGGGGCCUGCUGAGCCCCCCUGAAAACAUUAGAGUUUCUGACCCCUGUCAAAGGGGAGUGUGGGGUUCUUCUCAAGGAAAUCUGCUUUUCUGAGGUGACUUAUGCCUGGCCCACCCCUCUUCAGGCGGUCCUUUGCAAAGUGCUCUGGGAAUGAUACCCUCUUUGAAACACCAGGUACAUUAUGCAGAGCAAGUCAAUGGACGAGGUCCUCUGGUCUACCCCCUCCUCUAACCGUGGUUUUGGAGAUGGUCACCAGAGUGGCCAGCAGGCGGCAGCGCUGCAAGAGGUGGCGGGAGGGCCCGCCUGUGGCCUUCUCUCAUGUCAUCCGCCUUGGGCUCAGCUGAGAAGGAGACUGGCGGCAGCUGCUCAGGUCACCCUGGUAAUCGGAGCGUGCUGGGUGCGAGAAUCACUCCCUGCAAGAGCUAAAAGCCAAGAACAGUGUGGGACCAACCACGCUGGCACUUCUGAGCCAGCUUGCUGCUGCAGAAAGCCCUCUAAAAAUAGCCUGCUCAGGGCUGAUGGCGGCUAUCGGCUGGAACCCAGGAAAAUCCGCUUCAGAACGGGUGGAAUCCUCUUCUGUGUCCUGCUGCUUACUGGGACCCAGAGGCGGGUUGGGGACUGGUGAGAAUGGUGAGGGCCACGACCCUACCAGGAGAAAUGUGGAGAGAGACAGAGCCCUGACUGGAGACCAGUCGAAGGUCGGAGAAGCCAAGGAAUUCCGCCUGUCACUGAGGCCUGGCACAGGGUGUGGUUCUGUCUCGGGUGGGCCACGGGAGGCUGACCGUGAAUUCUUGGCUUAGCUGGGCAUUCAAAGUCUCAGGGUUCUGUCCUAAAGUUCCCCGCAGAGACCCCUGGCAGAAGGUCUGGCUCCAGACAUCUGCUUUACCAGACACAUCCUGCCUUGGCCCCUCCCCUUCUCAGCCUAUCCAGCCCUCCUUAGCUCAAAAGUGUCUUCCUUCUUCCAGGAGGACCUCUGGUCCAGCUCAAAGCAUCAGCUCUCCUCCAAGUUCCAGCCUGCCCUGGGAGACUCUCCCCACCGCACCCCGCCAUCAGGAGCUCAGCUUUCCUCCCCAGUGUGAUGCCAGAUGCUGUGGCGUCUUGAGCAAGUCUAUCCCUGUCUGGGUAUCCAUGGGAUCAAGGCCCAGACAUCUGGCUCAGAGGCCUGUCUGAUUGAAGCCUGUUCUCACACCCUGUUGUGACGUUCUGUAACUGUCACCAUGCUCAUGUGCAGUCCUGGACAGGAAGAAUCUGAGACCUGAGCAUGAUCACUAGACCAGGCCCCCCUCAGGGGGCUGGAGGUCCAGUUUCUGCUCACAUGCCUCAUGGGAUGGGGUGCUCACCGCUUCCCAAGGCAGCCACCUCUGCUGCCUGGCCUCUUUCCUCUUCGUCCUCUGGGGUCCUGCCUCUGCCACAGUUCAGAGGGGGUGGUCUCCACCCUGGCUAAGGGGUUCACACACUCCUGAGAGGAGGGCAUGGCUCACAGGACAAAUCUUACCAGACAAAUCUUACCUAAUGCUUGCUGGGGCAGGACUACAGGAAGAAGAAACAAGGACACUUGGGCCAGAGAUGCCACCAGCUGCCUGCUUUUUCUCAGCCUGAUGAAGCUGAGGGUAGAGGCCUAGAGGAGAGCCCAGCGGGCAAUGGGGCUUGAUCACUGAGGACAGUGGUCCCUGCCCCUGCUGGGGUCAGCUGGCAGUAGUUGGAAUGCUGGUGGGUGGGAACUCUCCUCUCUCCCACACUUGGUCCUGACAUGUCCCUGGCACAAAACCACCUUCCUUGCUGUGGGCAGGCAGGAGGGCGAGGGAGCAGGAUUUCCUAUUGCUCUUGAAAUUUGGGGUCCAAGAAGGGCUGGGAGCACAAGUCUGGACCGGCCAGGACUCUGCUGGGCCUGGGGUGGAGACUGUGUCCUGGGCCUCAACUCUCUAUCUGGACAAAUUUGAUUAUUUGAAUUGACAGGGUCCCUGGGGUGGCAGCGGUUGAGACUCUAGCUGAGCAGGCUUCAGCAAGCUGCUCAGGCUCCCUGUGUCUGUGUCUCAGUCCCUAUACUAUAAACUGGGAUGAGGAUACAAUGUCCCUGAGCAGAGCCUUAUAUAAAUGUUGACUGUUAUCAUUGUUACCUGGCUAGGCCCUUUUGAGGUGUUUUUAUUUAUUUUAUUUUUUUGGUACUG